This 523-nucleotide ribosomal RNA is filed under the name uncultured bacterium. RNAcentral describes it as "bacterial SSU rRNA". It matches the Rfam family "Bacterial small subunit ribosomal RNA", at positions 8 to 518 of the family's 1533-position model. The record is from RNAcentral.
AGAGUUUGAUUCUGGCUCAGGAUGAACGCUAGCUACAGGCUUAACACAUGCAAGUCGAGGGGCAGCAGGACGAUAGCUUGCUAUUGUCGCUGGCGACCGGCGCACGGGUGAGUAACGCGUAUCCAACCUUCCCCAUGGUAGGGGAUAGCCCGGCGAAAGUCGGAUUUAAUACCCUAUGUUCUUCAAUGCGGACAUCUAAGUUGAAGCAAAGGUUCACCGCUAUGGGAUGGGGAUGCGUCUGAUUAGGUUGUUGGCGGGGUAACGGCCCACCAAGCCGACGAUCAGUAGGGGUUCUGAGAGGAAGGUCCCCCACAUUGGUACUGAGACACGGACCAAACUCCUACGGGAGGCAGCAGUGAGGAAUAUUGGUCAAUGGGCGUAAGCCUGAACCAGCCAAGUAGCGUGCAAGGAUGACUGCCCUAUGGGUUGUAAACUGCUUUUAUGCGGGAAUAAAGUGGCGUACGUGUACGCUUUUGUAUGUACCGCAUGAAUAAGGACCGGCUAAUUCCGUGCCAGCAGCGGC